AGCUUUUCGAAUCCGUACUGAGAUUUCAUCAGAUGCCAACCCAUUAGGACUGAUCAGACUCCCAAGAUAAGUGAAGUC
Molecule: non-coding RNA, 78 nt
Organism: Schistosoma mattheei
Lineage: Eukaryota; Metazoa; Platyhelminthes; Trematoda; Strigeidida; Schistosomatidae
Source: Rfam